RNAcentral lists this transfer RNA (72 nucleotides) under Acidobacteriota bacterium. RNAcentral's name for it is "Acidobacteria bacterium (wastewater metagenome) tRNA-Val". It matches the Rfam family "tRNA". Rfam says of the family: Transfer RNA (tRNA) molecules are approximately 80 nucleotides in length. The record is from RNAcentral. Lineage: Bacteria; Pseudomonadati; Acidobacteriota.
AGGCUCUUAGCUCAGGGGUAGAGCACUACAUUGACACUGUAGGGGUCAGCGGUUCAAAUCCGCUAGAGCCUA